AGAUCCCUGCUGUGUGCGUGGUAGUCGACAUGUUUUGAGCCAACACAUUUGAAGAGGGAGCACAGUCUCUGAUAGCGGCGUACAUGCCCCCAAGGGGAAGUAUAAGGUUGUCAGGCUGGCACCCACCUGCUUGAGAGAGCAGCUUCAAAAACGGUCGACCCACGGCAUGGUGGGGUUUUU
RNAcentral lists this non-coding RNA (180 nucleotides) under Bacillota bacterium. Its description in RNAcentral is "Firmicutes bacterium (anaerobic digester metagenome) 6S RNA". It matches the Rfam family "6S / SsrS RNA". From Rfam's summary of the family: E. coli 6S RNA was the first non coding RNA to be sequenced, but its function was unknown until recently. It consists of 184 nucleotides that fold into an extended hairpin structure with a large single-stranded internal bulge. The record is from RNAcentral. Lineage: Bacteria; Bacillati; Bacillota.